RNAcentral lists this ribosomal RNA (1354 nucleotides) under uncultured marine eukaryote. RNAcentral describes it as "SSU rRNA". It matches the Rfam family "Eukaryotic small subunit ribosomal RNA", at positions 412 to 1778 of the family's 1831-position model. The record is from RNAcentral.
CCCCUUAAAGGAGGCAGCAGGCGCGCAAUUACCCAAUCCUGACUCAGGGAGGUAGUGACAAGAAAUAACAAUAAACCGGCUUAUGCCGGUUUAAUUGGAAUGAGUACAAUUUAAACAUCUUAACGAGGAACAAUUGGAGGGCAAGUCUGGUGCCAGCAGCCGCGGUAAUUCCAGCUCCAAUAGCGUAUACUAAAGUUGUUGCAGUUAAAAAGCUCGUAGUUGGAUUUCUGUGGGGACGGAGCGGCCGGCCGCACAUCGCGGUUCGAGCUAGCGCUUUCCCUACAUCCUGCCGCGAACCGUGCUACCAUUAGUUUGGUGGCGCCGGGGAUCGGCUCGAUUACUUUGAGAAAAAUAGAGUGUUCAAAGCAGGCCACAUGCCUUGAAUAAGUUAGCAUGGAAUAAUAACUAAGGACUUCGGUUCUAUUUUGUUGGUGUUCGGGACUGAAGUAAUGAUUGAUAGGGACAGUUGGGGCGGUCUGUAUUCCAAAGCGAGAGGUGAAAUUCUUAGACCUUCGGAAGACAAACAGCUGCGAAAGCGUUCCGCAAGGAUGUUCCCUUUGAUCAAGAACGAAAGUUGGGGGAUCGAAGACGAUCAGAUACCGUCGUAGUCUCAACUAUAAACUAUACCAGCUAGGGAUCGGCCAACGUUAUUUUAUACCGACUUGGUCGGCACCUUAUGAGAAAUCAAAGCAUCUGGGUUCCGGGGGGAGUAUGGUCGCAAGGCUGAAACUUAAAGGAAUUGACGGAAGGGCACCACCAGCCGUGGAGCCUGUGGCUUAAUUUGACUCAACACGGGAAAACUUACCAGGUCCAGACAUAGUAAGGAUUGACAGAUUGAUAGCUCUUUCUUGAUUCUGUGGGUGGUGGUGCAUGGCCGUUCUUAGUUGGUGGAGUGAUUUGUCUGGUUAAUUCCGUUAACGAACGAGACCCCAGCCUGCUAAAUAGCGCGCGAGAGCUUUGCUCGCGGCGAGCUUCUUAGAGGGACUAUGAUGCGCGAUAGCACAUGGAAGUUUGGGGCAAUAACAGGUCUGUGAUGCCCUUAGAUGUUCUGGGCCGCACACGGGCUACACUGGCGCCUGCAACGAGCAUAUCAGCUGGCCCGAGAGGGUCUUGGCUAAUCUUUUGAACCGGCGCCGUGCUUGGGAUUGACCUUUGCAAUUGUUGGUCAUGCAACGAGGAAUGCCUUGUAAACGCGAGUCAUCAGCUCGCAUUGAAUACGUCCCUGCCCUUUGUACACACCGCCCGUCGCUCCUACCGAUGAAUGUUCCGAUGAAAUUUUCGGAGAGCACCUGUGAACUUGGCUCUGCCUUGCGAACGGGAGGCUCAAAGUCACUUAAAUCUAAACAUUUAAGAG